AUGCCCGGACUACAAUUCCCAGCAGGCGCAGCGGCAGGGCCUGGCCGCAGCAGCCAAUCAGCGCCCGCGCUCUCUCACUAUAAAAGGCCCGCGGCCGCUCGCCUUCACCCUCUCCCUGUAAUGGCGGCGCGGCGUGAGGGCUGCGGCCCGGGCUCCAUCCGCCGCCAUCCGCCCGCUGCCGGCGCUUUUCCUACGCCCGGCCUCGCCUCAUCGGUGCCCCGGGGGCUCGGCUACCGGGCGGCGGCGGCUGAAGGCGCUCGGAUGGCGGGGGGCGCGGCUGCGGGGUGAGAUGGCCGCUUCCCUGCCUCUGCGUGAGGAACUACGUGGAGCUGGAGAUUGCUGCGGUCCCCAGCAUCAUCCUGCCGUGGGAGGUGGCCCUGCAGUGCCAGGCAGUGUGUUCCAGGGUUCCUUGCUGCUUCCGAGCUCGCCCAGCUGACGGCCCGCCUGCCGGGGAGGAUGCAAGGAAUUACUCCCUUGGUGGAAGAGGCCGAGAGCUCGUGAGCCCCUCUCCCCCACGAAGGGAAUCAGUUCGCUGAAGGCCGAAACCACGAGGGAAGUGGGAAUGGAUUGGGUGUACGUGGAGCUGAGGGAGGGUUUCGGUGUCUCAGACUCCAGUAUCCUGCUCCUGGUAACGGGAUCCCGGCUCCUCGGUGAGCUGUGAGCUCCCCCGGGCGGGAGAGCUGCUGCUGUGCACCCGUCGCUGAGCACCGCGGGCAGCGGGGACCUUGUGGGGUCUGGGUGCUGCCGAAGCUUCCGUUCGUGUGCUCGCAGUGGAAGAAGGAUCCCUUCCAGGGAGGUUUCACAAAGAGCUGUGGGGGGAGGAUCUGGAAGUACUUAAAAUAGGUGAAUAUUUGAGAAUGUGUGGAAUAUCGGGGGGGUGAAUAAAGGCGGUCAC
Oxyura jamaicensis (ruddy duck) is the source of this 895-nucleotide long non-coding RNA. RefSeq lists it as uncharacterized. The record is from RefSeq and is a predicted model, not a curated record. NCBI's taxonomy places the organism in Eukaryota, Metazoa, Chordata, Aves, Anseriformes, Anatidae. The transcript has 5 exons.